Molecule: ribosomal RNA, 253 nt
Filed under: uncultured bacterium
Lineage: Bacteria
Description: partial 16S ribosomal RNA
Rfam family: Archaeal small subunit ribosomal RNA
Source: RNAcentral
UACCAGCACCCCGAGUGGUCGGGACGAUUAUUGGGCCUAAAGCAUCCGUAGCCGGCCUUACAAGUCCUCCGUUAAAUCUAGCUGCUUAACAGAUGGGCUGCGGAGGAUACUAUAAGACUAGGAGGCAGGAGAGGCAAGCGGUACUCAGUGGGUAGGGGUAAAAUCCGUUGAUCCAUUGAAGACCACCAGUGGCGAAGGCGGCUUGCCAGAAUGCGCUCGACGGUGAGGGAUGAAAGCUGGGGGAGCAAACCGG